GUUAGUUUCUAAUUAUUUAAAUUUGUUUGACAGGGUAACAAAGAUCUUAUCCUUGUCCAUGAAGCUCUUGACUAUGGAGACUGCCGUUUAUCUCUAGCGAUACCCAAGUAUGGCAUUUUUGAGAAUAUAAAUUCUUUACAAGAGCUGGCACAAAUGCCGCAGUGGACACCUGAGAGACCUCUGCGAGUUGCAACUGGCUUCACAUAUCUUGGUCCAAAGUUUAUGAAAGAAAAUGGAUUGAAGCAUGUCACUUUUUCAAGCGCUGAUGGAGCUCUGGAGGCUGCUCC
Long non-coding RNA from Olea europaea var. sylvestris, 287 nucleotides. RefSeq lists it as uncharacterized. NCBI's taxonomy places the organism in Eukaryota, Viridiplantae, Streptophyta, Magnoliopsida, Lamiales, Oleaceae. The transcript is spliced from 3 exons. The record is from RefSeq and is a predicted model, not a curated record.